RNAcentral lists this ribosomal RNA (301 nucleotides) under uncultured bacterium. RNAcentral's name for it is "partial 16S ribosomal RNA". It matches the Rfam family "Bacterial small subunit ribosomal RNA", at positions 509 to 807 of the family's 1533-position model. The record is from RNAcentral.
CAGUCGCCGCGGUAAAACGAAGGGGGCAAGCGUUGUUCGGAAUUACUGGGCGUAAAGGGCGCGUAGGCGGUGCACUAAGUCAGGCGUGAAAGCCCUGGGCUCAACCCGGGAAUUGCAUUUGAUACUGUUUGGCUUGAGUUCGGGAGAGGUGAGUGGAAUUCCCAGUGUAGAGGUGAAAUUCGUAGAUAUUGGGAAGAACACCAGUGGCGAAGGCGGCUCACUGGACCGACACUGACGCUGAGGCGCGAAAGCGUGGGGAGCAAACAGGAUUAGAUACCCCCGUAGUCCCUGUCUCUUAUAC